CUUGGUCAUUUAGAGGAAGUAAAAGUCGUAACAAGGUUUCCGUAGGUGAACCUGCGGAAGGAUCAUUAACGUAUCUCCGACGGGGUGCGGUGAGCCCUGCUCCGGCCAAACGGCCGUGCAGCGGGUUCUCCGUCACCGUCACCACCUUUACAAACCCACUGUGAACCUUCACGGCGGACGGGAGGCGACUCCCCGAGGCCGCAUACCAAACUACAGUCGCAAAGAAUGUCGUGCGGACUUUGCGCCGCCUAGAACACGAAACAACUUUCAACAACGGAUCUCUUGGCUCUCGCAUCGAUGAAGAACGCAGCGAAAUGCGAUAAGUAAUGUGAAUUGCAGAAUUCAGUGAAUCAUCGAAUCUUUGAACGCACCUUGCGCUCCUUGGUAUUCCGAGGAGCAUGCCUGUUUGAGUGUCUUGAAGUCAUCAACCCCUUCCGCUUUGCGGGGGGCGGUUGGAUGUGGGGGCCCUGCUGCCGUGAGGCGGCUCCCCUCAAAUGCAUCGGUUGGGCCUGCGGGUCGAACUCGACUGGGCGUUGUACCAUCCUCGCUCGACAGAGACGCUCCCCUUCUGCGCCCUCCCUCGACCUGCCGUCAGAGCGGCGGUCAAGCAAACAAACUUUGAAAUCUGACCUCAAAUCAGGUAGGACUACCCGCUGAACUUAAGCAUAUCAAUAAGCGGAGGAAAU
This 686-nucleotide ribosomal RNA is filed under the name uncultured Basidiomycota. Its description in RNAcentral is "eukaryotic LSU rRNA". The stretch from base 263 to 416 matches the Rfam family "5.8S ribosomal RNA". The record is from RNAcentral. Lineage: Eukaryota; Fungi; Basidiomycota.